AUGAUGUGGAAGGUGGAAACUAUAGAGAGAAUCAGGUUGAAAGGUGAGAAUCUAAUCCUCUCCAUUUUCUGUUGCUUUUCUAUUAUGAAAACCUUCUUCCUCUCUGUCUCUCCCUUUCUGUUAUAUCAUUUGGUCGCUGAGUUAGUUAGAAAAGCGGUUAGGGAAUUAGAGGUAGUUAGAAACUGUUAG
Non-coding RNA from Vicia faba (fava bean), 189 nucleotides. The record is from the annotation of a GenBank genome assembly. NCBI's taxonomy places the organism in Eukaryota, Viridiplantae, Streptophyta, Magnoliopsida, Fabales, Fabaceae.